UGCUUUACACAUGCAAGUCGAGCGGCAGCGCGUCCCCGUAAGGGGAUGGCGGCGAGCGGCGAACGGGUGAGUAAUACAUCGGAACGUGUCCCGUAGAGGGGGAUAGCCCGGCGAAAGCCGGAUUAAUACCGCAUAUGCUCUACGGAGGAAAGCAGGGGACUCGCAAGGGCCUUGCGCUAUGGGAGCGGCCGAUGUCCGAUUAGCUUGUUGGCGGGGUAAUGGCCCACCAAGGCGACGAUCGGUAGCUGGUCUGAGAGGAUGAUCAGCCACACUGGGACUGAGACACGGCCCAGACUCCUACGGGAGGCAGCAGUGGGGAAUUUUGGACAAUGGGGGAAACCCUGAUCCAGCCAUGCCGCGUGAGUGAAGAAGGCCUUCGGGUUGUAAAGCUCUUUUGGUCGGAAAGAAGAAGUUCGAGUGAAUAACUUGGAUUUUUGACGGUACCGGCAGAAUAAGCACCGGCUAACUACGUGCCAGCAGCCGCGGUAAUACGUAGGGUGCGAGCGUUAAUCGGAAUUACUGGGCGUAAAGAGUGCGUAGGCGGUUUUUCAAGUCCGUUGUGAAAGCCCCGGGCUCAACCUGGGAAUGGCAGUGGAAACUAGAAGACUUGAAUCUGGCAGAGGGGGGUGGAAUUCCACGUGUAGCA
This 646-nucleotide ribosomal RNA is filed under the name uncultured beta proteobacterium. Its description in RNAcentral is "bacterial SSU rRNA". It matches the Rfam family "Bacterial small subunit ribosomal RNA", at positions 45 to 680 of the family's 1533-position model. Lineage: Bacteria; Pseudomonadati; Pseudomonadota; Betaproteobacteria. The record is from RNAcentral.